RNAcentral lists this ribosomal RNA (389 nucleotides) under uncultured bacterium. RNAcentral describes it as "bacterial SSU rRNA". It matches the Rfam family "Bacterial small subunit ribosomal RNA", at positions 28 to 417 of the family's 1533-position model. The record is from RNAcentral.
GACGAACGCUGGCGGCGUGCUUAACACAUGCAAGUCGAGCGGUAAGGCCCUUUCGGGGGUACACGAGCGGCGAACGGGUGAGUAACACGUGGGUGACCUGCCCUCAGCUCUGGGAUAAGCCUGGGAAACCGGGUCUAAUACUGGAUAUGACUCCAUGACGCAUGUUGUGGGGUGGAAAGCCUUGUGCGGCUGAGGAUGGGCCCGCGGCCUAUCAGCUUGUUGGGUGGGGUGANGGCCUACCAAGGCGACGACGGGUAGCCGGCCUGAGAGGGCGACCGGCCACACUGGGACUGAGACACGGCCCAGACUCCUACGGGAGGCAGCAGUGGGGAAUCUUGCGCAAUGGGCGAAAGCCUGACGCAGCGACGCCGCGUGAGGGAUGACGGCCU